Molecule: long non-coding RNA, 1170 nt
Filed under: Heterocephalus glaber (naked mole-rat)
Lineage: Eukaryota; Metazoa; Chordata; Mammalia; Rodentia; Bathyergidae
Description: lncRNA (ENSHGLG00000035901.1)
Source: RNAcentral
AGCAACUUCACUUCAGGAAUCCCAGUGUAAUCCUCCCACAGUAACUGGGUGAGAGACAGACAUGGGAGACACUUGGAGACAGGGACUAUGACUAUGGCAGGGACAAUAAUUGUGCUAGACAUAGACCCCCUGAGAAGCGUAAGCUUAGGCCAUAAAGGACUUCCUCCCUUCCCCAUGUUGAGAAGCCAGGCCAGGCCUGUGCUGUACUCUGAAAUGGCUGAAAGUGCUGACAUUAAGUUCAGCAGACUGCUUGAACCUUUGUCCCGCUACCUACCUCCAGCACAGGUCAGAGGUCUGAUUGCUUUCUUCAUCUACCAACAUGACUACGGAUGCAUUUCAGCUUGUUCAGUUGCUACAGCCUAAAGUAAACAGACAGAGAAACCUCUGGAACAGGGGAAACCUCACAAACCUACUGGCUAUAAAGCUAGGAGGAAAAAACCAUGACUUACUGGAUUCUAAAACUGCAAUCCUGGAAAGAAACCACUCAUUCCAAAAUACACAGAAAUAUUUUUUUCUUUCUUUGGACUCAUUUUUUUUUCUCACUUUUUUCUCUUUCUUCUUCAGUGGUUUUGGGGAAAUGGUGAGACUGGAGGACUGCUCGCCUCAACCUACCCAGUGUGAUUAUUGCAGCACAUAUGGUUUAGAGCCGUUGAGAAAAAUAAUGGAUCUGCCUGAAUUAGCACCUGACUUGGGCAGCAUCACCAGAGAACCAGUCUCGCCAGUUCACUUUGCUUUGCUCCCAGCCAUGAUCGACCUCCUUGCAUACUUCAACACAUCAAUAUUGAUGGAGAGCCCAGGCUGUAUCUCCUUCAAGCUGUAGGCACAAUGGCCCUGGUGGGAAGUUCAUCCAUCAGAAGAAAUUUCCUGGAAAUACACUCAGCCAGGUACAGUGUCAACUCCUGACCUCUGACAGCAUGUGUGACCUCAGUGAACAUAUUCUCUGUAGAUGACUACAACAGGGGCCCAAGGUCUGGAUCCAUAAGAACCUUGACACGCUUGAGGUAUCCAUAAGGUUUUUAGUAGGCAGCUCACUUUAUGUACUAGAAAAAUUUGAGUGCAAACCUGAAAACUAGUUUCAAAUAUUUAAAAGACUAGAGGAAAAAGGGAUAAUAUUUUUCUAUGUGACUCGAGAGGACAAAGUUAAGAAAAAAUGAUAGAAGAAUUUUGGUG